AUGACGGCAUCCACUACGGAGCUGUACAUGGUUUACCGGUAAUUGUAAGUAGUAAAUCUGCCUUGAUCACUGUUGACAGGGACGGAGGG
This is a regulatory RNA element of Geomicrobium sp. JCM 19039, 89 nucleotides long. It matches the Rfam family "pan motif". Lineage: Bacteria; Bacillati; Bacillota; Bacilli; Caryophanales. The record is from Rfam.